Non-coding RNA from Erythranthe guttata (spotted monkey flower), 2743 nucleotides. Lineage: Eukaryota; Viridiplantae; Streptophyta; Magnoliopsida; Lamiales; Phrymaceae. The record is from RefSeq and is a predicted model, not a curated record.
AAUACUAGUAUGAUUAAUUUGAGAAUUUGUUAUGAGAGAAUAUAUUUUCUGGGUAGCUCAUUAUUCCUAUUAUUUAGCAAUGGUUAAUAAAUCUUAGUUUUAUUAUUUAAUUCAAUCUCACUUACCUUUGAUGCUCUCUAUAUGUGAAACUUUGUUACCAAAAGAUAUGCAGCCAAACCAAACCACUAAAUAAGAUCACACCAACUAUUUUACUCUCCACAAUUUAUUUUCUCUUUUUUUUCAGCCACUUCCCAUGUGAAACGGCACCGUUUCACUAUAUUCCACCAAUCAUUUACCUGCAUCAAUUUCUUUUUGAUUUAAUUUCAACUUGCAUGAUUGCAAUCCGCCAUUUUGGUGGGCCCAUGAGUUUUUUUCUCCUCUGUUUCUCUCUCCACCGGAGAGAACAUUUCCUCUCACAUCUCUCUCUGACGCCGCGGCCGCCGCUCUCAAAACUCUACAUAUUACACCACGACUCGCCGCAUGCUGACCUGGAGAGGCGGUCGACAAGGUCUCGCCGCUUCCGCCGUCGACAGCCAUCGACGUUGCAUCUGCUUCCACCUACCGGACAACUUCGCCACCGUCCCGAGAUCGCAUUGGCUCAUUCCCCACUGGAUCUCCAUCUUCAAGAACAAACAAACCUCUUCGAACUGAUGUUGCCAUUGUCGAUAAUCGAGAUGGAGGUGAGGAGAAUGAAUGGGUGUCGAGACUUAUUUCGGUUGGGUUUUUAUUGUUGGUGUUGUUGUGUGGGUUUUGGGCUUCAAUUCUUCGAAUUUCUUCAGUGGAGACAUCCCUCGAACACCUCGCGUGCACUGUUUUUCCAGCUUCAUAUUCUUCUUCUCCCAUUUUCACCAGCUGCCGCAUUUUCUUCAUAUUGAUACUACUGAUCCUGUCGUUUUGUAGGUAAAGAUUUGCGCGUAUUAUUUCCAAACGGUGCCGUUGGCUACCACCGUCUUUCUCUCCUAUUCUACUGCCGUGGUUUGGCCAUUUUCACCGCAUUUUCCUUUUCGAUUAUUUUGUAAAUCCACAGUUGAACGCCUUGAAUUGUGUUUUCUUGUGAAACAGGUUUGAUUGAUUUUUAUUUUUUUAAUAUUCGAAUCUCUACUUAUGGAGAUGGUGUUUACCGGUGAUAUGUGUAGUAUGUGUUUGGGUUAUGCUAACUCGUGAGUUUUCUUCUGGAUAGGUUACUCACAUUUUUUAAUUCAUGAAAUUCGAUUUAGUUAUUCACCACUAAUCAAUUAUUUAUCUUCAAACACAUUCGAAACUAUUUCUCAUUUCAUUUUCAUCUGUAAUAACCGUUUAUUUUUCUACCGCAAAUUCAUUUUACGCCAAGUCAAUUGGGCACCACAGCUGCGCCUUGUGCGGCGCACAACCACUAGUAUAAGUAUAUAUGCCCCCAAAUCCCCUCCCUCUAUUUACUUUUAUUCUGAAACCCUUCAUGGUAUUCUUUCUCAUCCUCUUCUUUUUCUCCAAUUCUCCCAAUUUUUAUGUAUUGGUAUUGAUUCGAUCGAUUUUAUUUUACAAGCAACGCUUGCUCAACCAACCACAACUCUCGGUUGGAACGCUUCCACUGUUCUUUGUAUUAAUUUAAUUUCUUCCCAGACUCGUCCGCCAUUACAACUGUCCUUUGUUUAUAUUUGAGAGUUUUUCAUGUUUUUUCUAAUAAUUUUCCGUACUUCGUACAGUCCGUCUUCUCUUUCUUAUGAGCUUCCUUUUGCUUUAGUAUCAUCUUCUUAUUUUUUUUAUUACAUUGGUGGUGACGAAAUGAGGUGUUGUGGGUUUUGGCCUCAAAAGUAUUUUAAUGUUUCAUCCAAUAAUGUUUCUGAUUUUAUACAAAUUGUCUUUCCUUUUUUAUGAAUUUUCUUUUGGUUUUACAGUUUGUACGUGCUCAACAAUUUGCUUACGAAACCUUACCCCGUCUUCCUGUAAAAAUUCUUCAUACCCCUAGCAAACUGUAUUUGAGUUUCUUUAAAUUUAUUUGUGGAGAGACGAUUCCUCCUAUUCAUUUGUUUUUACGAUUAUUAGGUGUUUCCUUUGGGGAUUCUUCGUGUUAGCUCUUCCGUGUUCUACAACACCGUGCCUCAUUCGUGGACGCAAAAUCUCGAGAUUUAUGUCACUGUAGCCACGAAAGGCACAUUGGUGUGUAGGUGAAAGCAAUGAGGCAAUUACAACUUAGAAAAUUGAGGAUUGUGGCAAACAAGCAAAUGUGCAGCAAACCUCUGUAGCUGAAUUUCUGAUCUGCUCGUGGGGUCUCGUCUGGUAAAACAUAUUGAGGACUUGCACUUGCGCAACAAUUGUAUUAGCCGUGGUAAGAGCAGGGAGUUGAAGCUAUGGAUAGAGCGCGUUUGCUUGGAUUGCAUUUGUGGGGCCGACCAGGCACCUGACUGCCGCCAAUUUUUUGCCCCGUCUGGAGGAUGCGUAUGAGUUUCACUUUCACUAUUUGAGUGCCAAUUCUUAAAAAUCGAAUAAUUGAUGCAUGUUUAUUGGUUAUCUGUGGUCUACAGAGGUUUUAUAAUUUGUCUGUGUUUCUCUUUUCAUUAGUCAUAAGUUGUUGCUUGAGUUUAGUUUUUAUUUUUUUAGUUUAUUGGGAGUUUUAUUGAAGUUUUGGACUGAUAUACAAGUAUUCUUUGGAUGGUUAUAAUAUUAAACUUGUAUUCAAUCAAACAGAUCGACAUUGUAUACGUGGGAGACACCCUUAAUUAUGCAUCCAUGUACAUUUUUAUAUUAAUACGCAGUUUGCAGGUGA